CAUUAAAUAACUAAAAGUUAGUAUUGGUCUCUUAAACCAAUUAUAAUAAUUUAACGCCUAUUUUUAAUG
RNAcentral lists this transfer RNA (69 nucleotides) under Pselaphinae sp. 6 EF-2015. RNAcentral describes it as "tRNA-Lys". Lineage: Eukaryota; Metazoa; Arthropoda; Insecta; Coleoptera; Staphylinidae. The record is from RNAcentral.